RNAcentral lists this ribosomal RNA (253 nucleotides) under uncultured bacterium. RNAcentral's name for it is "partial 16S ribosomal RNA". It matches the Rfam family "Bacterial small subunit ribosomal RNA", at positions 524 to 776 of the family's 1533-position model. The record is from RNAcentral.
UACGUAGGGUGCGAGCGUUGUCCGGAUUUAUUGGGCGUAAAGAGCUCGUAGGCGGUCUGUCGCGUCGGAUGUGAAAACCCAGGGCUCAACCCUGGGCCUGCAUCCGAUACGGGCAGACUAGAGUACGGCAGGGGAGACUGGAAUUCCUGGUGUAGCGGUGAAAUGCGCAGAUAUCAGGAGGAACACCGGUGGCGAAGGCGGGUCUCUGGGCCGAAACUGACGCUGAGGAGCGAAAGCGUGGGGAGCGAACAGG